Molecule: ribosomal RNA, 395 nt
Filed under: uncultured bacterium
Lineage: Bacteria
Description: partial 16S ribosomal RNA
Rfam family: Bacterial small subunit ribosomal RNA
Source: RNAcentral
CCUACGGGGGGCAGCAGUGAGGAAUAUUGGUCAAUGGGCGGGAGCCUGAACCAGCCAAGCCGCGUGAGGGAAGAAGGUACAGCGUAUUGUAAACCUCUUUUGUCAGGGAACAAAGGCGGGGACUAGUCCCCGGAUGAGCGUACCUGACGAAAAAGUAUCGGCUAACUCCGUGCCAGCAGCCGCGGUAAUACGGAGGAUGCGAGCGUUAUCCGGAUUUAUUGGGUUUAAGGGGUGCGCAGGCGGCGUGUUAAGUUGGCGGGAAAACCCCGGGGCUCACCCCCGGAGGGCCUUUGAGACUGGUCGGCUGGAGUGGAGGAGAGGUAGGCGGAAUGCGUGGUGUAGCGGUGAAAUGCUUAGAGAUCACGCAGAACCCCGAUUGCGAAGGCAGCGUACCG